Molecule: long non-coding RNA, 1367 nt
Organism: Toxorhynchites rutilus septentrionalis
Lineage: Eukaryota; Metazoa; Arthropoda; Insecta; Diptera; Culicidae
Exons: 3
Source: RefSeq, a predicted model, not a curated record
GGACACACCACAUGCACACAUCUAAGCAUGAGUUAUCGCCAGAGAAAGAGAGCGCUGACGCACUAGUGUGUGCGAGACACCGUCAUGACGACGAAGAAACACACGGUGGGCGCUCUCCUAUCAGCCUAUCUCUCCUGUGACCCUGGCAGCAUGUGUGGGUGCGAACGAGAGCGAGAGGGCUCAAUUUUUUCGAACAUCCCCACUGUGUAUCGAACUUCGCCAUCGCAAAAGGCCACCAGAAGUAGUGUUUCAGCGAGCGACUUGACGACGAGGAAAAUUCGACGAGAUUGGCGCGGUUGGUGUCUUUUUAUUGGAUGUUGGUCUCACCUUUAUCUGAAAUUUUAUGUAUGUGUGUGUGUAAGACUGUGAGAGUUUGCUGUAAUCAACGCCCUUUUUCAGGUACUGCUGAAAUAAGAAGCAGUUGUGUGUAGUGUGUGGAAAAGCAGUUUUUUUUACUCUCGACCUAGCUCUUAAUUGUGGGGGCAUUAGGAAACUUGCCUGAAGGAGUGAUUUGCUACGGCAGUAAUUUACCCAAAGAACUCAUCGCCAUCGGAUCAUCGAUCGACCCGUCCGUUCAGCGCCUCCGUCGAUGUGCACCAACAACAGCUAGUGAUAUUUCCGGAGACCACUUUCUCCGCGUUUCGGGCCCGCAGGAAAAUUCGAUUUUCCAAUAAUUUGACAGCGGAACGACGAAGAAAGAAAAAGUUUUCUCAUCGAUAUAUUCUCUUAUUUCUCCUUCAAUUUCAUAUCGCUGUUCAUGCAUACAUGCGCGCGUUUGUGUAUGUGUAUCCACUGGUAGAAAUCGCAGCUAGAAGCGUGAAAAGGUGUGCGUGUGUUUUUCCAUACACUCUUCCAAACGUUUGUGAUGCUCCGCUCUCUCGCAGUUUGCUCUCAUGAGAAUUACCAUGCGAAGACGAUGAUGGUGUGCAUCAAUCAAUGUGAGCUGUGAAUGAAAAUCUGAGGCCAAAAUAGUAAAGUGAUCCUUUUAAAGAGCUGCGCGGGGAUUAAGUGAAACGGAAGUCUUUCGGGAAGAAUAAGGAAGAACGAAAGAAAAAAAAGCUCGGAAGUGUCAGCAAGAAAGGGUCUUUAGCGCCCGGCUCUCCUGAAGGUCGUGAUUGUAUGAAGUGCAUGUGGUGAUCCCCACCCCGUGUGUGAACCAUUCCCCACAAAACCGAUCCUUGACGUAAGAGGAAGAAUUAGGAGAAAAUAAAUUCAAGAAAAAAAAAUACACAGGAUAUAUCAGCAAAAUUGUGCGGAAAUCAGCUUGUUUUUUCUUCCUGGAAAAUUCUGUGUGUGCAUAGGGCAGCAAAUCCUUUCGGUGGAACAACACGGAAUCAGGAGCACAGAAAUUCCACCACUACGACGGA